UCGGGAAUUUUGGGCAAUGGGCGAAAGCCUGACCCAGCAACGCCGCGUGAAGGAUGAAGUAUUUCGGUAUGUAAACUUCGAAAGAAUAGGAAGAAUAAAUGACGGUACUAUUUAUAAGCUCCGGCUAACUACGUGCCAGCAGCCGCGGUAAUACGUAGGGAGCAAGCGUUGUUCGGAUUUACUGGGCGUAAAGGGCGCGUAGGCGGCGCGGUAAGUCACUUGUGAAAUCUCUGAGCUUAACUCAGAACGGCCAAGUGAUACUGCAGUGCUAGAGUGCAGAAAGGGCAAUCGGAAUUCUUGGUGUAGCGGUGAAAUGCGUAGAUAUCAAGAGGAACACCGGAGGCGAAGGCGGGUUGCUAGGCUGACACUGACGCUGAGGCGCGAAAGCCAGGGGA
RNAcentral lists this ribosomal RNA (395 nucleotides) under uncultured bacterium. RNAcentral describes it as "bacterial SSU rRNA". It matches the Rfam family "Bacterial small subunit ribosomal RNA", at positions 355 to 767 of the family's 1533-position model. The record is from RNAcentral.